AAGUUCCACUUGUUUUACAUAGGCUACUGGAUGUCUGGCUUGAUACCAAUAAUCUGAACUGUUAUUUAUUGUGGGUUCUCCAUGGUGGAGGUAAUUAUCUCUGGACAUUGAAAUGACCGGAUUGGGGCGUGCUCCACGGACCACUCCUGGAACACAUUGCAGAGGAGAGGAUUGUGUCUCUGGAACUCUUCUCCUUUGAAGGAGUCUUUGGACUAGGCAGAAAGUGAUCAAUUUCCUCUCAUAUUACCCUCAACCUGCGGCCUAUUUGUACUCCUGAUUGGAUAAAAGGGUUAAGAAGAACAAAAUGGUUGGAGAGAUUUUUGAAUUUUUAUGAUAAUUAUUUGGUGUCCCAGGAUCUACUGAAUGUCUCAAGAGAGGAACUUUUUUCCACUUCACAAAUUCUAAUUUUUGACUUGAUAAAGAAUGAUGAAUAUUUGUCACACAGAUAUUUAAAUGGAAUCAGGGCUGUAUAUAACCAUGACAUAAUACUUUGUCAAAAAGUGAAAAGUUAAUCUGGUUGGUCAUCAGUUUCAGAAGGGAGGAUUUUAAAUGGCUUAAAAAUAAUGUAGUCACAUGACUUAAAUUCAAAAGAAGGUAUUUUUACCUGGCAUAUGGAGAAGAUGAUGACAAUAAUGUGGAACUUGAUUAGACAUCAACAGAGACUCAAUGCCUCCUGGAAAACACCUGAGAAAUGAUUGAAGCUCGCUCUGGUCUUGCCUGGAAUCAUGCAUAACAUUUGUUGCUGCCUGCAUGUGGAUUCAUUUUAGCAGUUUAUCAAUUUGGACAGGGAAUUUUGAAUAAAAAAUUUUGGCAGUCAUUAUAGUGACUCUUCUGAGACUGAAAAUUCAGGUAACAAGGAAAAUCAGUGACUCUUUCUCUCUGCUUUCUUCAAAACACAAAUAAUCCAAUGAUGUAUAGGCUGCAUUGCCCUUUGAUUUGUUACCUUAGAGAUCAUUACAUGUUAGUACAUAAAGAAACUUCCCAAUCUUCUUUUAUAGCAUCCAGGUACUCCAAUGUGUA
Molecule: long non-coding RNA, 1020 nt
Filed under: Homo sapiens (human)
Lineage: Eukaryota; Metazoa; Chordata; Mammalia; Primates; Hominidae
Description: HSALNT0347326
Source: RNAcentral